RNAcentral lists this ribosomal RNA (432 nucleotides) under uncultured bacterium. Its description in RNAcentral is "partial 16S ribosomal RNA". It matches the Rfam family "Bacterial small subunit ribosomal RNA", at positions 29 to 506 of the family's 1533-position model. The record is from RNAcentral.
AACGAACGCUGGCGGCAUGCCUAACACAUGCAAGUCGAACGAGACCUUCGGGUCUAGUGGCGCACGGGUGCGUAACGCGUGGGAACCUGCCCUUAGGUUCGGAAUAACUCCCCGAAAGGGGUGCUAAUACCGGUUAAUGUCUUCGGACCAAAGAUUUAUCGCCUUUGGAUGGGCCCGCGUUGGAUUCGCUAGUUGGUAGGGUAAAAGCCUACCAAGGCGACGAUCCAUAGCUGGUCUGAGAGGAGGAUCAGCCACACUGGGACUGAGACAAGGCCCAGACGCCUGCGGGAGGCAGCAGUGGGGAAUAUAGGACAGGGGGCGAAAGCCUGAUCCAGCAAUGCCGCGGGAGUGAUGAAGGGCUUAGGGUUGUAAAGCUCUUUUACCCGGGAUGAUAAUGACAGUACCGGGAGAAUAAGCUCCGGCUAACUCCGU